RNAcentral lists this ribosomal RNA (402 nucleotides) under uncultured bacterium. RNAcentral's name for it is "bacterial SSU rRNA". It matches the Rfam family "Bacterial small subunit ribosomal RNA", at positions 490 to 890 of the family's 1533-position model. The record is from RNAcentral.
GUAUCGGCUAACUCCGUGCCAGCAGCCGCGGUAAUACGGAGGAUACGAGCGUUAUCCGGAUUUACUGGGUGUAAAGGGCGUGUAGACGGAUGGGUAAGUUGGCUGUUUAACCUGGGGGCUAAACCCCCAGCCUGCAACCGAAACUGCUGAUCUUGAGUACCAGAGGGGAAAGCGGAAUUCCUAGUGGAGCGGUAAAAUGCAUAGAGAUUAGGAAGAACACCGGUGGCGAAGGCGGCUUUCUGGCUGGCAACUGACGUUGAGGCGCGAAAGUAUGGGUAGCGAACAGGAUUAGAUACCCUGGUAGUCCAUACCGUAAACGAUGAAUACUAGGUGUAGGAGGUAUCGACUCCUUCUGUGCCGAAACGAACGCAUUAAGUAUUCCACCUGGGGAGUACGAUCGCA